Molecule: ribosomal RNA, 692 nt
Filed under: uncultured beta proteobacterium
Lineage: Bacteria; Pseudomonadati; Pseudomonadota; Betaproteobacteria
Description: bacterial SSU rRNA
Rfam family: Bacterial small subunit ribosomal RNA
Source: RNAcentral
ACAUGCAAGUCGAACGGCAGCGCGGGAGCAAUCCUGGCGGCGAGUGGCGAACGGGUGAGUAAUAUAUCGGAACGUGCCCAGUAGUGGGGGAUAGCCCGGCGAAAGCCGGAUUAAUACCGCAUACGACCUGAGGGUGAAAGCGGGGGAUCGCAAGACCUCGCGCUACUGGAGCGGCCGAUAUCAGAUUAGCUAGUUGGUGGGGUAAAGGCCUACCAAGGCAACGAUCUGUAGUUGGUCUGAGAGGACGACCAGCCACACUGGGACUGAGACACGGCCCAGACUCCUACGGGAGGCAGCAGUGGGGAAUUUUGGACAAUGGGCGCAAGCCUGAUCCAGCAAUGCCGCGUGCAGGAAGAAGGCCUUCGGGUUGUAAACUGCUUUUGUCAGGGAAGAAAUCUUCUGGGCUAAUACCCCGGGAGGAUGACGGUACCUGAAGAAUAAGCACCGGCUAACUACGUGCCAGCAGCCGCGGUAAUACGUAGGGUGCGAGCGUUAAUCGGAAUUACUGGGCGUAAAGCGUGCGCAGGCGGCUUUGCAAGACAGAGGUGAAAUCCCCGGGCUCAACCUGGGAACUGCCUUUGUGACUGCAAGGCUAGAGUACGGCAGAGGGGGAUGGAUUCCGCGUGUAGCAGUGAAAUGCGUAGAUAUGCGGAGGAACACCGAUGGCGAAGGCAAUCCCCUGGGCCUGUACU